RNAcentral lists this ribosomal RNA (253 nucleotides) under uncultured bacterium. Its description in RNAcentral is "partial 16S ribosomal RNA". It matches the Rfam family "Bacterial small subunit ribosomal RNA", at positions 524 to 776 of the family's 1533-position model. The record is from RNAcentral.
UACGGAAGGGGCAAGCGUUGUUCGGAAUCAUUGGGCGUAAAGGGCGCGUAGGUGGUUCUGUAUGUCUACCGUGAAAGCGUACGGCUCAACCGUAUUUUGUCGGUGGAAACUGCAGGACUUGAGGCUGGGAGGGGCUGGUGGAAUUCCCUGUGUAGCGGUGAAAUGCGUAGAUAUUGGGAGGAACACCAGUGGCGAAGGCGGCUCACUGGACCGGUUCUGACGCUGAUGCGCGAAAGCGUGGGGAGCAAACGGG